This 491-nucleotide ribosomal RNA is filed under the name uncultured bacterium. RNAcentral describes it as "partial 16S ribosomal RNA". It matches the Rfam family "Bacterial small subunit ribosomal RNA", at positions 30 to 508 of the family's 1533-position model. The record is from RNAcentral.
AUUGAACGCUGGCGGCAGGCCUAACACAUGCAAGUCGAACGGUAACAGGAAGCAGCUUGCUGCUUUGCUGACGAGUGGCGGACGGGUGAGUAAUGUCUGGGAAACUGCCCGAUGGAGGGGGAUAACUACUGGAAACGGUAGCUAAUACCGCAUAACGUCGCAAGACCAAAGAGGGGGACCUUAGGGCCUCUUGCCAUCGGAUGUGCCCAGAUGGGAUUAGCUAGUAGGUGGGGUAACGGCUCACCUAGGCGACGAUCCCUAGCUGGUCUGAGAGGAUGACCAGCCACACUGGAACUGAGACACGGUCCAGACUCCUACGGGAGGCAGCAGUGGGGAAUAUUGCACAAUGGGCGCAAGCCUGAUGCAGCCAUGCCGCGUGUAUGAAGAAGGCCUUCGGGUUGUAAAGUACUUUCAGCGGGGAGGAAGGGAGUAAAGUUAAUACCUUUGCUCAUUGACGUUACCCGCAGAAGAAGCACCGGCUAACUCCGUGC